Nymphalis io (European peacock) is the source of this 1703-nucleotide long non-coding RNA. RefSeq lists it as uncharacterized. The transcript has 2 exons. Lineage: Eukaryota; Metazoa; Arthropoda; Insecta; Lepidoptera; Nymphalidae. The record is from RefSeq and is a predicted model, not a curated record.
UGUUAUCAUUCGGUCGCAGACUGCGCAAGCGACGAGCCGCGUCGAUCCAAAUAAAAAAAUGAAACCGGAAAAAUCGUGACGAGAAUUAUAAUCAUUACAAAUAGAAGUGACUUUGUGUACAAAUUCUAAAAAUAAAACGUGUAGUUACUGAUUAUUGUUAAUAAUGACUUAAUAUUUGGACAAUUCAAAUAUGAAUAUGAAGUUUCAAGAAUAGAAAAACAAUUGAAUCAAACGAUUGUGAUUUUUAAGAAGAUUUUUUUAACAAUGAGCACAUUUGAACCCUAAUCAAAUGUGGACUUACUCGAGCGUGGACAUCCCAGCGAGUAGAAUCAGUCGAGCGGAGAGAAUAAGGAUAUACGUGUCGGAGUGCGUUGUGUGUUUUUGUAUAUUAUUUUUCAUUGUGUGUGUAGGCCUACUUCUAUACUUGUUCUUCCAUUUGUAUAGUACUGUGACAAACACACGUAAAGCCGUCGAAACUAUGAUUGAAAGUUAAAUUUGAAAUGUUUUCUAACAUUUUAUUAUUGCCAAUAUCAUAAAGUUCAAAUCACUUGAUAUUGUUCUUUGAGAAAAUAAUAAGAUAUCUUGUAUAAAUUAUGAGUGAUUUCUAGUAAUUUUAGUAUCGGAAUAUUGUUAUAAAUUCUGUAUAAAUAAAUGCGUAAUUUAAUAUUUAUAUAAUUAUGAUAAUUGAAUAAAUUUGUAAUUUGUUGUACGCAUUGAUAAGGUUGCCGUGGCUUAUACUAAUGAUUUUGUAGCAAUUAAAAAUAUAAGCAAUUCUACUAUCUAUGUAAUAGAAGCUGGUCUUAUAAAUCAUACUUAAAUUAAUAACUUCAGCAUUUCAUAAACACUGUAUUACAAUUUUAUUAUUAAUUAAUAUGUGUACUGUAGAAUAUGUACUAUAAAUUAUUAUAUUAUAUUAAUAAUGUUUAUUAGAAACAAAGAAAUCAAGAAGCGUAUCUAAUUAAAACGUUGACGAACAAUAAAAUGUGAUAUUAAUUUACAUUUUCAUAUAUUUUCCUUUUCAACUUAGAAUUUCCGUCACUAAUUGUACAUGUUGCAGUCAUAAUCUGUCCCGGCCAAAAUUACUUUUGACCGAUAAAAAUGUUAAAGGAUAAAAAAUUAAACGGGCUUAAAAAAUAACAGAAAAUCUGAGAAAUCGGUGUAGCCUUUGACGAGUUUUAUGUUUUUUUGACUUUUCUGUCUUAAUUAAAAUAUCUUGAAUAACACUAAAAUACUGACAUACUAAACAUUGUAUGAUUUUUUGUACAAUACGGAUUAGUAUAUUUAAAAACGAGCGAUCCGAAGUACUCAUUUAGAUACAUUUGAAGUAUAAUGUCGUUUAAAUAACUGAAAUUACUUGUCACUUAGAUUGACGACAGUUGUAGUUUUUUCCAAAUUCAAAUUCAAAAAAAUUUCUCUUUCUUUUUUUAACAAAGGUAUAAGCGUAUCUGCUUGUAUUGAAUACUAUCUCUGUAUUGAGAUAUCAUAAGUACCACAGAUCAUAUAAUAUAUUCCCAGGUAGGCUACGCUAAUCUUACCUAGGUCUUUACUCAAAAGUUAUUUUAACCGGAAAAUAGUUUUAACUGUAACAUAUAUAUUGAAUUGAGAAGCAAAAUAAAAACAAUCAACCUGAAGUUGUCUAUGGAUGAUAACAAUGACCAUUGAGUUACUUCAAAUAUAACACAAAUAAAUAUUAUAAUUAUAGA